AAGCCAACUACAUCUGUAAAUUGUCAUCGUAAUAACCAUAUUGUGGCUAGUAGAAACAUCGUAUCGAGACAAAUGAUCAAAGUGGAAAAUUACACGAAACAUACUGGACAGUGGGGGAGAGUGGGUUGGCAACACUUGACAGUUCCCGACCUCCAACGCCGUUAA
Molecule: long non-coding RNA, 165 nt
Organism: Leptopilina heterotoma
Lineage: Eukaryota; Metazoa; Arthropoda; Insecta; Hymenoptera; Figitidae
Exons: 2
Source: RefSeq, a predicted model, not a curated record